UACGAAGGGGGCUAGCGUUGCUCGGAAUUACUGGGCGUAAAGCGCACGUAGGCGGCUUUCUAAGUCGGGGGUGAAAUCCUGGAGCUCAACUCCAGAACUGCCUUCGAUACUGGAAAGCUCGAGUCCGGGAGAGGUGAGUGGAACUGCGAGUGUAGAGGUGAAAUUCGUAGAUAUUCGCAAGAACACCAGUGGCGAAGGCGGCCCCCUGGGCUAACACUGACGCUCAGGCACGAAAGCGUGGGGAGCAAACAGG
Molecule: ribosomal RNA, 253 nt
Filed under: uncultured bacterium
Lineage: Bacteria
Description: partial 16S ribosomal RNA
Rfam family: Bacterial small subunit ribosomal RNA
Source: RNAcentral